GACGAACGCUGGCGGCGUGCUUAACACAUGCAAGUCGAGCGGAAAGGCCCUGCUUUUGUGGGGUGCUCGAGUGGCGAACGGGUGAGUAACACGUGAGUAACCUGCCCUUUACUUUGGGAUAACUUCAGGAAACUUGGGCUAAUACCGGAUAGGAGCUCCUGCUGCAUGGUGGGGGUUGGAAAGUUUCGGCGGUUGGGGAUGGACUCGCGGCUUAUCAGCUUGUUGGUGGGGUAGUGGCUUACCAAGGCUUUGACGGGUAGCCGGCCUGAGAGGGUGACCGGCGACAUUGGGACUGAGAUACGGCCCAGACUCCUACGGGAGGCAGCAGUGGGGAAUAUUGCACAAUGGGCGGAAGCCUGAUGCAGCAACGCCGCGUGCGGGAUGACGGCCUUCGGGUUGUAAACCGCUUUCGCCUGUGACGAAGCGUGAGUGACGGUAAUGGGUAAAGAAGCACCGGCUAACUACGUG
Molecule: ribosomal RNA, 468 nt
Filed under: uncultured bacterium
Lineage: Bacteria
Description: partial 16S ribosomal RNA
Rfam family: Bacterial small subunit ribosomal RNA
Source: RNAcentral